AUUAGGGCUUUUCCUAUUAAGCGAUAAGAGAGUUCUGUGCUCACAGAAUAACAUUCGUUGCCGCCUCCUAUAGCAGUGUCUGCUCUUCGUAACCGUCACCGUCAACCAUGAUCAUUCCAGAGAAAAACCGCCGCGAGAUCUCGAAGUACCUCUUCCAAGAGGGAGUUUGCUUUGCAAAGAAAGACUUCAAUCUUGCAAAACACCCAAACAUAGAUGUGCCAAAUCUACAGGUUAUUAAGCUGAUGCAGAGCUUCAAGUCAAAGGAGUAUGUUCGUGAAACCUUUGCAUGGAUGCACUACUACUGGUACCUCACCAAUGAUGGUAUUGAGUUCCUGCGAACUUACCUCAAUUUACCAUCUGAAAUUGUGCCUGCUACGUUGAAGAAGCAAAACAAGCCUGGUGGCAGGCCCAUGGGAGGCCCACCCGGUGAUCGUCCACGUGGUCCAUCUCGCUUUGAUGGAGAGAGGAGAUUUGGUGGUGAUCGGGAUGGAUACCGUGGAGGACCCCGUGGACCUGGUGGUGAUUUUGGUGACAAGGGUGGAGCUCCUGCUGAUUAUCGACCUACCUAUGGGGGCAGCAGUGGAAGACCUGGCUUUGGCCGUGGUGCAGGUGGUUUUGGUGCAGGGCCUGCUAGCUCAAAUCUCCCUUGAGAUAAUGCUCUCAAGAUUUAAGCUUUUGACAUUUUCAAUUCCGGGCGGGAGUCAAUAUGCUUUGCUGCAAAAAGUUAAUACUAGCGGUUGAUAGAUAUAGUUUAAUGUGGUAGAUUGCUGUUUGGAAUCAUUUCAAAUUUUGCCAUCUUUGCUUUUGCUGAAUUGAAUUUUGGAAGAACUACUGUCGCGUAUUCUAAUUUAUAAAGAUGCACAAACC
RNAcentral lists this unclassified non-coding RNA (867 nucleotides) under Hevea brasiliensis (rubber tree). The record is from RNAcentral. Lineage: Eukaryota; Viridiplantae; Streptophyta; Magnoliopsida; Malpighiales; Euphorbiaceae.